Molecule: ribosomal RNA, 253 nt
Filed under: uncultured bacterium
Lineage: Bacteria
Description: partial 16S ribosomal RNA
Rfam family: Bacterial small subunit ribosomal RNA
Source: RNAcentral
UACAGAGGUCUCAAGCGUUGUUCGGAUUCAUUGGGCGUAAAGCGUGCGUAGGCGGUCCCGCAAGUCCGCUGUGAAAGCCCCGAGCUUAACUUGGGAACUGCAGUGGAAACUAUGGGACUUGAAUCCGGCAGAGGGGGGUGGAAUGCCACGUGUAGCAGUGAAAUGCGUAGAGAUGUGGCGGAACACCGAUGGCGAAGGCAGCCCCCUGGGCUGAGAUUGACGCUCAGGCACGAAAGCGUGGGGAGCAAACAGG